Long non-coding RNA from Gouania willdenowi (blunt-snouted clingfish), 2250 nucleotides. Ensembl annotates it as basic helix-loop-helix family member a15. Lineage: Eukaryota; Metazoa; Chordata; Actinopteri; Blenniiformes; Gobiesocidae. The record is from Ensembl.
AUGCAAGCGUUGGGGUACUUCUCUCCUGUUCGGGGUAUUUCUGGGAAUGGUUUAUGUUGGCUUUUUAAAAGAAGUGGCAGUGAUGAGCAGACAAAUAAAAGGGAUAAAGAGCUCCACCUGUGGAUCUCCUCAGAUCUUCUGUCACUGGCUGAUGAGGAUAAACAGUCAGACGCCUUGUUCUGUGUUCUUGAGGAAGAUGAAAGAGGAUCAUUAGAUCAUAGACUAUGCUUGGAAACAAGGUCAUCAACCCCGUGUUGUCCUCCAAAGGACACCAUUCAACCACUGACUGUUACCUCCUCAGAUCUCCGUGUUAUCCACGUGUCACAGGAGGCUUCCAGGAUGAAACUGAUUUUCAAUCCAAAGGACAUUUCCAGCUUGAUCACCAUGAAUUUAAACCUACCAACGCAUAUCACGAGACAUCUUCAUGACAUCCUUAUGACCUUGUGUUAUGAUGACUACACAUCAGCCCGGCUGUUAAACAAUAUUCCAAUAACUCAGACAACGAAGACACUCCUAGAACACAGCAUCACAUCAAUGGAUUUAAAAAAUUCCCAAAUCCAAUGGGCUCUGGGUUUGAGCCCUGAAGAUGAACAGAAUGGAAACGUUCUCAUGGUCAACAUUAAGUGUAAUCAGAGUCCUGUGAAGUCAUGCCAGAGCAAUAACAAAGCUGGACAAGAACCCUGGGAGAACAGGAACAGGAAUGUGAGGAGAAGAAGGAGGAAAAGUGUUUCCUUCAAUGAAGAUGUUGUAGUAUUUCUGUUUGAUGAGAAAAGUCCAACUCUGAAGCUGCAAACUGAAUGCUGCACAUUUCCAUCAGGCAGCUCGUCCUACAACCUGCCAGUGUUCACAAUGGAGGACAAUGGAUUGGAGUGGGAGGAUGAAUUUGCGACUUUGGAGCGAAACGACCAUUUGCAGCGUUUCAAACCUGCUCCGCCCUGCAACGUCUCUCUGCCAACACCUGCCUUCACUGCUGUGACCGAGCCACAGCAACACUGUCAGACCCAACGCUGCCUGUUCCUCACCUAUGUCACUGAGUCAGACCUUGACCUGUGAGAUAAAAAAGGUUGAACAACCUCAGCCUGAUGGAAAAAGUGACUAAUCAUCCAGAUCUGGUCCUCCUCUCAUCUCAUCUGCCCUCCUCUCCUCUCCUCCAUCUCAUCUCCCACCCUGAUGACUUAAAUGGCUUCUUUCUUCCUUUCUCUUACAGAUGCUUAAUCUCCAGACUGAUUCACAAUAUGUGUCGUCAUGACAUCACCACUAAGCAGAUUUAUGUGCCAUUGCGUUCAGAUUCCCAUUUAGCUGGCAUGACACGAGUGAAAGAGCCAGUUAUGUAACACUUCUGGUACUUUUCCAGAUAUAACUCCGCUAUAACUUUUGAUGCCAGACUAUGUCCUUGAACCUUAAGUAGAAACUAGACUAGAAACCAAAUGAAAUCUACAAAAAGCCAAAUUAUACAUCCUUCACUUUGGAAGUCAUUUUAAAAUUGUAAUGCAGCCGAUUCCAAAUGAUCUUGGUGUAAAUAUACAGAAGAGGUGUUUAGACAGUUUCUUUACCUCAAAUAGAACAAGCUUGUCGAGGUCCUGUUUACCUGCCUCAGAUCCAAAGUGUAUUCAGCUCAGAAUUUAUCUGCCGCUGUGACAAAACCAACAAGCCUUUGGGCCACUACAGCCAGAAACUGAGCAAACCUAAACAAACUGAUAAAGCUUCCCCUGGAGCCAGAAUCAGCUUUGUAUAGCAGUGCGUAGCAAUAAUGGAUGAAUAGUGGUGAAAAAAAGACACAUAACCAUCAUCAGGUUUAUGGCUUCUAAAGACAACAUAGCACUAACCUUAAUCCUGAGUCAUCCCGUCCCCCCCCCACCCCCCAAUUCCUCUUCCUCUGCCAUGCCUCUACCAAACUGUGUAAACAGAUUUAAGUUCCCACAACUUGUACAACUUCACAAACACACACAGGCUCACACACACACACAUACACACACACUCAUGCACGCACGUGCUGCUCAAGGGCAUUCAAAUCCAAAGGCGGGGACGUUUGCUCGAAAGAGCUGGGAGUGUCACACCUGUACCCGCAUCUAAUUUGUUGCUAAAUAACCACUAAGCUGAUACUAAUGACCUAAUCACUACAUACUUGUGUGAAUGGGAUUUUUAAAGCCUAUUUUUCUUUUAUUUUUUUAUAAAGCACUUUAGUUAGAAAAUUGACUUUUUGAGUAUUUCCAACUGAGUUAUUAGAAUAAAGAAUAAGAAAAUAAUGCA